Molecule: long non-coding RNA, 4576 nt
Organism: Lepidothrix coronata (blue-crowned manakin)
Lineage: Eukaryota; Metazoa; Chordata; Aves; Passeriformes; Pipridae
Exons: 4
Source: RefSeq, a predicted model, not a curated record
GUUCCUAACCCAGCACUGAGUGCCCCUGUCCAAGCCAUGGGCUGCCAGCUUUUCCAGGAGAAUGCUGUGGGAGACGGUUUCAAAGGCUUUGCUUUUUUUCCCCAUGGGACACCUCUCAGAGAAUGACUGAGAGAGAGAAACCUGCUCAUCUCAGUGAGGUAUUCUGCCUUCGGGACUCCUUCAUUGCUGGCUGUGAAACCAUCACCUGCUGUGCUGGCUACAACAAGUUUUAAGUUAUGUACAAGUGAUUAGAAGGACUAAACGAGAGAGAGAUUCUGCUUUCUUUUCUCAACCACUUAACGUGUUUGGCACGACAAUCCGCCGGCAGAGCUAAGGAGUUAAAGAUGUUAAAGAUGGAAACGAGAACUAUGGAAAGACUAAAUCAUACUGCACAUGUCAGAGAGGGGUUCUGUGUGCUCAUCCAAGUAGCUGCAGUCCAAAGUGAAUUCAUCUCUCCUGAAGAGUACACAGACGGCAUUUGAGAUGAGAAUUCAGAAUUAUUCAAUAUUCAGAAUCAAGAAACAUCUGUGAAAAUUACUGUGGUGCUGCAGUUUGGGUGCUGGACAGAAGAGGGUGCCCUUCAGAUAGCCUGAGAGAAAAAAGAAGACCUUGGCUGUGGACACCGAAAACAGCCAGAGGUCGUCAAACUCCCAGUUCAGCGAGGCUGUGGAAGCCCAUGCAACCUGCACUGUGUGGCCUGGAGAAGGGCUCACUUGCAUACUCCGAGCUGCUUGGACACUUUAAAGACUGCAUGAACAGCAGGAGUAGUGUUUUGAUGUAGCUGGAAAUCCCGAGUACAGCAUGCUGGGAGUGAGCGAUGCUGUUAUUGUUUCUGCUGCAUUCAGAAGGUGGCUGUAAGCUGAUACAUUUAAUGUUGGCUAUGUGCACCGGAGUAUCUGUAGUGUUCAAAUCAAUGCUUUAGAAGAUGGUCACUUAAUCAAGACUGUAUCUCAUAAACCAGCUGAGGAAACAAAUCCUGUGCUUGCCUGGCUGCAUGUAAAUAUAAUUUUUGACUCAUACGCUGGAGUUCCUGAUGCGUAUACUCCUACAGGGGGUAAGUUUGUUGGCUGCAUUGAACAAGCAAAAAUGCUUCCACAUUGUAAAACGCUCCCGUAACAUUGAUUCAAGUUUAAUCGAUUACAUGAGGUAGUUCAGAGAGCAGUUACAGCUGUGCAAAGCAUUAGUCAUUGUUAGAAUUUGACUUGGUGUGAUAACCAGGCAAUAAACUCAGUCAGCUGUCAAUCUCUGUAGGAAUGAGCCAUUGUGAGAACUUAAAUAUCUGCUGUGAACAUUUCUAUCAAAUAAAUCAUAUCUCCUGAGCGGAUACUUCCACUGUUUUGACAAGGAAGAAAGAAAAUGUUUCCUUUGGUUAGAUCUAGAAAGGCUAAAUAGAGUUGUAGUGAUUGCAAGCCCACUCUGUCUAUACACAGGAUUAAUGCAAGUGUUCAGGGUGCAAAGAUGUUUUUAAAUCUUGAUUUAAAGUGUGUUUUUCAAAUUAACAGAGCACUCACAGCCCUCAAAUGAUACUCAGUGGGUCAUGUUUGUUUCUCAAACAUAUGCCUUAUAUUUGAAACUGAAUCUAAUGCUUUUAAAUGAACUAAUGAUUAGUGUUUUUAAUAAACAGCCUGAAGUCCAGUGUUAGCUGAUGAACUGUGAAACAAGAAGAACAUUUACAGGACAUACUACAGUAUAUCAGCUUAGCAGAAUUGAAAUUUCACUUUUUCAAAUGCUGGUUCAGAUAGAAUUGUCUUUUCAGGGCAACUUGCGUUCUCCAGUGGAAUUGAACCAGGGUGCAGAAUAAGCUGCUAUAAUUAUGCAAGCCCCACCACUAAGAUAAUUACAAGUAUUUUAAUCAUCCUUAAUUCUUAUAUCACAAUAAGAAAACUUCGGUCCAAACUAUCAUCCAUAAAACUGUUUAAAGCAUGAAAUCUAAAGUGUGUCCCGAACAAAUGAAGCACAGCUUCAUCUUGAAUUGUUGAAAACCAUAGUUACAGGUGACCAGAGUUUAUAAUGUAAUGCUACUUUAUCUUUGCUGAAUGAUGUAAAAAUACCUGGAGACAGUGUUUUGUAGCCACAUUUACACAAAUACAUGACAUCAACUCUGAGAAGACCAUUAUGGGCUCUUCAAGAACAGUUACAGAAGCCAAGAGAAAAGUACUUCACCCUUGGAGAAGAAAUACCGGCAUGCACAGGUGUAAUAGGAAGAGCGACACCCUGUCUUUUGGCCAUAAACUCAGCUUCUGCUGGAUCACGUUCCUUUGCCUGUUACUGUACAGUCAAUACUGAAAAGACUCAGAGAAGUGUGAAGUAGUGUGAUUUUCUUUGUAUGUAUCAUAGAAAACAAAUCAGGAGAUGAAAAUGUGCUGUUUGACUGCUUGUUUUGGUCAUUUUUUUCUUUCCUAAAUACUCUGAAUACUGUCUUCUACUAUGGAAGCAGUUGAACAAAUUGGGUAAGUUUUUGCUGCUGUUUCAGAAGAAUAAUAUAAAGCUACUUGUUUAGUCUGUGUUGUUGAGCAGAAAUUACAUGGCAUACUGACAGCAAAAUAGACUAAUAAUAAUAACAAAUAUAAUUUAUCUCUGCUAUACUUUGAGCUGGACUGAACUUUCUCUGCAAGACAGGAGAAUAACUCAUAAAUGUAUUAUUCUGGAGGAAUUAGAGACAAAAUCAAUACACUUUGCUCGUGGUACACAUCAACGAGUUGUCAUAACAGUGAUUAUAAGUUCUCCAAUGGUAGUCGGGGUUGGAUGCUCAGGCUGCUCCAAAAGUUUCUCUUGCUUGACAAAACAAGCAUGAGUUGGUACAGGCUGAUGCCAGACUAGCUUUUUAUUUGAAAAGCUGACAGUCAACACUAUAGACUUUGUUACUCGUUUGCCAUUGUUGUUGUAUUAAUGGAUUUCUUCAGUAAAUGGCCAGAAGUAGCCUCUAUCACAGGUCCAUCUGCUUUGGUCAUGACUUUCCAUUUACUCCUUUCAGCAGAGUAAGAAGCUCAGAAAACUAAUGUUCACAUUGUCAGAGAUUCGGAGGUAUGGUGGAGAUGGGGAGGUAAUGUGGGUUGGGAGUUCAGGCUUUUAGUAUAAGUGAGCUCUUGUAGACACAGUGAGAGCAGCCCUGCUGUUUUUUUGAGUGAAGGAUGUAAGGGGUGGAGGAGAGUAAUUGUAGUGUAUGUGAAUCCAUAAUAGACCAGGAUUCACUGAUUCCACUGCUUGUUGAAUGACAAAGUACAAAAUUACACAGGAGCGGCUGUAAUGAUGAGACAGGCAUGAGCCCAAGCCGCAAAUUCAAAUCAGAAAGCAAUCACAGGAUCAGCAAAGGAUAUAGCCAGGCACAGCCAUAUCUGUAAUGCAACUCAGGCAAGGACUGAUAGCAAGGACCUGAGCUCAAAUGCAACUCCUGAGCCAAGUGCAGAGGCCCCUGAUAAGAUGUCUUACAGCUCUUUCUCAUACUACACUUUUCAAAGCAGUCUGGUUGUAUUAAAGCUGACAUCAAAGAGUGUUAGCCAGACCCCUGGGUGACAGGUGAAGGGAAAAGAGACUGCAGUGUUUUUGUGAAUGUGCGGCCUGACAAUACACAGUGGAGUAGCUUUAAGGAUGGGGUUGUUGAUUUGGGGUUUUUUUAGUAGUGGACUUCGGUUCAUAAAUAUGUUGUUUCUGUAGAAAAAAAUGUACAAAGGGCUGAAUUCUGUUAUUCAAGCAACCAGUGAUCCAGCUGUGGUUUCUCAUAUGCAGAUAAAAUUGGCUCGUAUCAUAGUAAGACUUUGAGCUUGUCUAGUAAUUACCCGCCAUACCUCGCUUUGUGUCUGCAGCUCCUCAGUUGGUGACCUGCUCUUUGUUAGACAAAGACCACCUGGUUAUCAGAAAAUCUAGCUAAAGCCACAGCAGAAAAAGCAGAAUUAGAAGGUGGGUGGGUUGCCUUACUCACCAAAAGCAAACUGUUGAGGGACACCUUGAAGGAGUUGUUUGAAGUAAAUGUGCUGGCUGAACCCUAUGGUACUUGGUGCAGAUGCUUGGACAGAAGCAGAGGUGUAUGAGUGCCCUUGUGUAGACAAGCUGGGUGUUAUAUAUUCAUAGAAGUGUUCAUCAUUGAAUGUUACUGGAGAGAAGGGUCAUUAUGUAGAAAACUGGGGUUUAACACAUGUGGGCUUCAAGCAUUUUAAUUAGACAAAGAACUAGUUUGCUACCUAAAUAUUUCUUUUCUGAGCUUUGUGCUUUGAUCCUGCAGUACUGUAGGGAAGGAAGAUCUUGGCAAUAGGGGACAGCUCGUUGCAUUCCAUACUGGAUAAAAGGCUAUUACUGCUCAAGCGAGCACUAGAAGACAUACAAGGAGGUCUCACAGGAUUUGAAUUGUUCUGGAAAAGGAUUUAAUAUUUGAAAGAUUUUACAAAAAUCUUAUUUUUUCUGACCUCUAGUAACCCAACCUAAUUGAAAGCUGUAAUAAAGUGAUUAAAAGAUGGAGUCUGCUUUGCCGUUGUCUCGAGCAUGGAGCUAAAAAGCCUUGAUGCCACAGCUAGGCUGCUGCGGGAGCUGAGCUACUUGCAAAAGCUCCUGGAGGCACCUAGCAAGCCAUCAGAGGCAGGUA